RNAcentral lists this transfer RNA (108 nucleotides) under Methanomassiliicoccales archaeon RumEn M2. It matches the Rfam family "tRNA". From Rfam's summary of the family: Transfer RNA (tRNA) molecules are approximately 80 nucleotides in length. Their secondary structure includes four short double-helical elements and three loops (D, anti-codon, and T loops). Lineage: Archaea; Methanobacteriati; Thermoplasmatota; Thermoplasmata; Methanomassiliicoccales. The record is from Rfam by way of RNAcentral.
GCCGAGGUGGCUCAGCCUGGUGGAGCGUCGGACUCAUAGGGUUCCGGUCUAAUAACGGCCUCUUCCAGGGAAAUCCGAAGGUCCUGGGUUCGAACCCCAGCCUCGGCA